CCUACGGGGGGCAGCAGUAGGGAAUAUUGCUCAAUGGGGGAAACCCUGAAGCAGCAAAGCCGCGUGGAGGAUGAAGGUUUUCGGAUUGUAAACUCCUUUUGUUAGAGAAGAAAAUGACGGUAUCUAACAAAUAAGCACCGGCUAAACCCGAGACAGCAGCCGCGGUAAUACGGAGGGUGCAAGCGUUACUCGGAAUCACUGGGCGUAAAGCGCGCGUAGACGGGCUAGCAAGUCAGAUGUGAAAUCCUAUGGCUUAACCCUAGAACUGCAUUUGAAACUUGUAUUCUAGAGUAUGGGAGAGGUAGGUGGAAUUCUAGGUGUAGCGGUGAAAUGCGUAGAGAUCAAGAGGAAUACUCGUUGCGAAGGCGACCUGCUAGAACAUAACUGACGCUGAUGUGCGAAAGCGUGGGGAGCAAACAGGAUUAGAUACCCUAGUAGUC
This 440-nucleotide ribosomal RNA is filed under the name uncultured bacterium. RNAcentral's name for it is "partial 16S ribosomal RNA". It matches the Rfam family "Bacterial small subunit ribosomal RNA", at positions 338 to 795 of the family's 1533-position model. The record is from RNAcentral.